GCGGGCGUGGCGAAAUGGCAGACGCGCCAGCCUUAGGAGCUGGUGGGGCAACCCAUGGGGGUUCGACUCCCUCCGCCCGCA
Molecule: transfer RNA, 81 nt
Filed under: Candidatus Wildermuthbacteria bacterium RIFCSPHIGHO2_01_FULL_48_25
Lineage: Bacteria; Candidatus Wildermuthiibacteriota
Also listed under: 2 other names
Description: tRNA-Leu
Rfam family: tRNA
About the family: Transfer RNA (tRNA) molecules are approximately 80 nucleotides in length. Their secondary structure includes four short double-helical elements and three loops (D, anti-codon, and T loops).
Source: RNAcentral